This is a long non-coding RNA of Schistocerca serialis cubense, 952 nucleotides long. RefSeq lists it as uncharacterized. The record is from RefSeq and is a predicted model, not a curated record. The transcript is spliced from 2 exons. Lineage: Eukaryota; Metazoa; Arthropoda; Insecta; Orthoptera; Acrididae.
UCUGCCGAACAGAGAUUAUCUGUGGAAUGCCGACGGCGAUUUAAAUUUACGCGGUGGCUAGGAAAAAGGAAACUUCAUUCAAGACUCAUAGAUCAGGAAGUAUAAUUAAAACUCUGAGUAUGUCCUUGUUAAGAAUGGACGAUACUGGUGGUGCAGUUUAUAUCACUGACACUACUGCAGAGGAAUUAGUUACGAAGUUCAUGUAUCCGGAAAAGGCAGUCGCUAAAAGGAAAUCUUCAAUAUUCACCAGAAGAAGUUCUGUUGCUUUCAUGGAUAAGGAAGACCCGUGUGAUAGUUCAUCUGAUGCUCCAAGCGAUAACUAUCCGGUGGGAUUUGAAGCCUAUGUUGAAAUCCUCAAAAAUGAAAUCAGUGACUGGAAAGUAAUGUACAAGCAAAGAAGAGAGACUCGGAAGAAAGCUAUAAAACAGUUUCAUACGAGAAAGAUCGUAAAUCAAGGUGUAUUUGAUGCUUUAACAGAAGAAGAUAAAAUAUUUCUUGCAAGUAAACCAAACUACGAUAGGACGGGAAAAGACGCAUUGGCAGCCCUAGAGUGGCUGCCAGUUUCCGUCGAGAGAGCGAGAAACGUUGAAAGGUCGAUUUCGGAUCUUGUAGCGCAAGUUGAGUUAAUAGGGGGUAUUUUGAAAAAGCGAAUAGUUGAAGAAUCAGUCAUCCAAUGAAAUCUGGAAGUAUUUUCUCAUCCGAUAUUGGUGUAUUAUGAAAGAGAAUAUUCUCGUAAGGAGCGGUAAAUUACUUUGGUGGAACUCUCAACGUUUAGAGGCCAAGUCAUUUGUGAUUCUUUGGGAGUGUUAGUGAGUGUUGGUUAUUUAGAGCUGUUAAUGUUUCUCGUUUUCCGAUCGUGUGAAAUUUUGACAACCCUCUGUUAUAUACUGUUCUGACGUAACUAUGUUAAAUGUUUCGUUUUCGUUGUAAAAUAUAACCCAAAUGGCUGUUA